Molecule: ribosomal RNA, 434 nt
Filed under: uncultured Oscillospiraceae bacterium
Lineage: Bacteria; Bacillati; Bacillota; Clostridia; Eubacteriales; Oscillospiraceae
Description: partial 16S ribosomal RNA
Rfam family: Bacterial small subunit ribosomal RNA
Source: RNAcentral
ACGGAAGGCAGCAGUGGGGGGUAUUGCACAAUGGGCGAAAGCCUGAUGCAGCGACGCCGCGUGAGGGAAGACGGUUUUCGGAUUGUAAACCUCUUUCUUCGGGGACGAAAAAGGACGGUACCCGAGGAGGAAGCCACGGCUAACUACGUGCCAGCAGCCGCGGUAAUACGUAGGUGGCAAGCGUUGUCCGGAAUUACUGGGUGUAAAGGGAGCGUAGGCGGGAUUGCAAGUCCGUUGUUAAAUCUAUCGGCUCAACCGAUGGCUGCGGCGGAAACUGUAGUUCUUGAGUGAAGUAGAGGCAGGCGGAAUUCCUAGUGUAGCGGUGAAAUGCGUAGAUAUUAGGAGGAACACCAGUGGCGAAGGCGGCCUGCUGGGCUUUAACUGACGCUGAGGCUCGAAAGUGUGGGGAGCAAACAGGAUUAGAUACCCUGGUA